Molecule: ribosomal RNA, 449 nt
Filed under: uncultured bacterium
Lineage: Bacteria
Description: partial 16S ribosomal RNA
Rfam family: Bacterial small subunit ribosomal RNA
Source: RNAcentral
AGCGAACGCUGGCGGCAGGCCUAACACAUGCAAGUCGAACGAAGUCUUCGGACUUAGUGGCGGACGGGUGAGUAACACGUGGGAACGUACCUUUUGGUCUGGAACAACUCAGGGAAACUUGAGCUAAUACCGAAUGUGCCCUCAGGGGGAAAGAUUUAUUGCCAUUAGGGCGGCCCGAGUUCGAUUAGCUAGUUGGUGGGGUAAAGGCUCACCAAGGCUACGAUGUAUAGCUGGUCUGAGAGGAUGAUCAGACACACUGGGACUGGGAAACGGCCCGUACUCCUACGUAGGGCACCAGUGGGGAAUCUUGCGCAAUGGGCUAAAGCCUGACGCAGCCAGGCCGCGUGAAUGAUGAAGGGCGUAGGAUUGUAAAAUUCUUUUCGCAGGGACGAUAAUGACGGUACCUGCAGAGAAAGCCCCGGCUAACUUCGUGCCAGCAGCCGCCGUAA